CCACAUGUAAAUAGCACGGUGAUUUCAAAUAAGACCUUGAUACAUUACAACACUUGCCGUCAGUAUUUGAAUAUAUAUAUUGAUUAAGAAGGUUGUCAGCAAGAUGAAAAGGACAAGUAUGCAGUUCAAAAUUCAAAAUGUGGAUAAGCUGAGGUUCAAGGUCUUACCUUUGCAGAUUUUCAUAUUUUGCAUGAAUGAAUUCAAAGGUUAUAUGAUGGAUGGCAGAGAAAGAAAAAAAAACUUUUCAAUUAUCCUGCUCCUGGAUAAAUGUAAAACAUCUUGUUUUUCGAAGGAUUGAAAUUCACCACCUAGAAUAAAUGGAGAAAACAUAAAAACAAGACCAGAAUAAAUAUAAAGACAAAAGUUGGAUCAGUUAUUAUUUUCAUCACUCAGUCAAUGAUUUGAAGUUCUUUUAAAUACAAAAAAAUAUUGAAACCAAAAUAAUGUCAAAGUUCUGUGCUGAAUGACCAAAAAGUGGACUAUACCAUCAAACAAUGCUGGAUGAUAAGAAACUAUUAAUGUUUUGUGUUGAGGGAAAUUGUGAAAAAAAAUUAGAUUUACUUAAAUAGCUACUAGUACAUGUAGUAUUUUAAGCCUAACAAUGGAGUUUUUAUUGAU
Long non-coding RNA from Mytilus trossulus (common blue mussel), 618 nucleotides. RefSeq lists it as uncharacterized. The record is from RefSeq and is a predicted model, not a curated record. The transcript has 3 exons. Lineage: Eukaryota; Metazoa; Mollusca; Bivalvia; Mytilida; Mytilidae.